CCCAGACUCCUACGGGAGGCAGCAGUGGGGGAUAUUGCACAAUGGGGGAAACCCUGAUGCAGCGACGCCGCGUGAGUGAAGAAGUAUUUCGGUAUGUAAAGCUCUAUCAGCAGGGAAGAAAAAAGACGGUACCUGACUAAGAAGCCCCGGCUAACUACGUGCCAGCAGCCGCGGUAAUACGUAGGGGGCAAGCGUUAUCCGGAUUUACUGGGUGUAAAGGGAGCGUAGACGGCAAUACAAGUCGGAAGUGAAAUACCCGGGCUCAACCUGGGAACUGCUUUGGAAACUGUAUGGCUGGAGUGCUGGAGAGGUAAGCGGAAUUCCUAGUGUAGCGGUGAAAUGCGUAGAUAUUAGGAGGAACACCAGUGGCGAAGGCGGCUUACUGGACAGUAACUGACGUUGAGGCUCGAAAGCGUGGGGAGCAAACAGGAUUAGAUACCCGUGUA
RNAcentral lists this ribosomal RNA (446 nucleotides) under uncultured bacterium. RNAcentral's name for it is "bacterial SSU rRNA". It matches the Rfam family "Bacterial small subunit ribosomal RNA", at positions 330 to 792 of the family's 1533-position model. The record is from RNAcentral.